UACGGAGGGUGCAAGCGUUGUCCGGAUUUAUUGGGUUUAAAGGGUGCGUAGGCGGCUCAUUAAGUCAGUGGUGAAAGCCAACAGCUCAACUGUUGGAGUGCCAUUGAUACUGGUGAGCUUGAGUACAGUUGAGGUAGACAGAAUUGAUGGUGUAGCGGUGAAAUGCAUAGAUAUCAUCAAGAACACCGAUUGCGAAGGCAGUUUACUAAGCUUUAACUGACGCUGAGGCACGAAAGCGUGGGGAGCAAAC
Molecule: ribosomal RNA, 250 nt
Filed under: uncultured Cytophagia bacterium
Lineage: Bacteria; Pseudomonadati; Bacteroidota; Cytophagia
Description: partial 16S ribosomal RNA
Rfam family: Bacterial small subunit ribosomal RNA
Source: RNAcentral